AGAGUUUGAUCAUGGCUCAGAACGAACGCUGGCGGCAGGCUUAACACAUGCAAGUCGAGCGCCCGCAAGGGGAGCGGCAGACGGGUGAGUAACGCGUGGAAACGUGCCCUUUGGUUCGGAACAACUCCGGGAAACUGGAGCUAAUACCGGAUAAGCCCUUCGGGGGAAAGAUUUAUCGCCAAAGGAUCGGCCCGCGUCUGAUUAGCUAGUUGGUGAGGUAAUGGCUCACCAAGGCGACGAUCAGUAGCUGGUCUGAGAGGAUGAUCAGCCACACUGGGACUGAGACACGGCCCAGACUCCUACGGGAGGCAGCAGUGGGGAAUAUUGGACAAUGGGCGCAAGCCUGAUCCAGCCAUGCCGCGUGAGUGAUGAAGGCCUUAGGGUUGUAAAGCUCUUUUGUCCGGGAAGAUAAUGACUGUACCGGAAGAAUAAGCCCCGGCUAACUUCGUG
RNAcentral lists this ribosomal RNA (450 nucleotides) under uncultured bacterium. RNAcentral describes it as "bacterial SSU rRNA". It matches the Rfam family "Bacterial small subunit ribosomal RNA", at positions 8 to 507 of the family's 1533-position model. The record is from RNAcentral.